RNAcentral lists this ribosomal RNA (709 nucleotides) under uncultured crenarchaeote. RNAcentral describes it as "bacterial SSU rRNA". It matches the Rfam family "Archaeal small subunit ribosomal RNA", at positions 110 to 805 of the family's 1478-position model. Lineage: Archaea; Thermoproteati; Thermoproteota. The record is from RNAcentral.
UCUCCUUGGGNAGAGNAACCCCGGGAUCUGGGGAUAAUCCCUGAUAGAUGAAGACUCCUGGAAUGGGUCUUCGUUGAAAGGGCGUCUAGGGCAUGCUUCUAGGCGCUGCCCAAGGAUGGGGCCGCGGCCGAUCAGGUUGUUGGCGAGGUAACGGCUCACCAAGCCUUUAACCGGUACGGGCCGUGGGAGCGGUAGCCCGGAGAUGGGCACUGAGAUAAGGGCCCAGGCCCUACGGGGCGCAGCAGUCGCGAAAACUCCGCAAUACACGAAGGUGUGACGGGGCUAUCCCGAGUGCCGUCCGCCGAGGAUGGCUUUUCCACGCUGUAAGGAGGCGUGGGAAUAAGGAGAGGGCAAGUCUGGUGUCAGCCGCCGCGGUAAUACCAGCUCUCCGAGUGGUGGGGAUGCUUAUUGGGCCUAAAGCAUCCGUAGCCGGUUCGGCAAGUCCUCCGUUAAAUCCAGCGAUUCAAUCGUUGGACUGCAGGGGAUACUGCCGAGCUUGGGGGCGAGAGAGGCCGACGGUACUCUCGGGGUAGGGGUGAAAUCCUAUAAUCCCGAGAAGACCACCAGUGGCGAAAGCUGUCGGCUAGAACGCGCCCGACGGUGAGGGAUGAAAGCUGGGGGAGCGAACCGGAUUAGAUACCCGGGUAGUCCCAGCUGUAAACUAUGCAGGCUAGGUGUUGGAGCGGCUACNUGCCNCUUCGGUGCCCAA